UUUCCCCCUUUGAUUCUUCUCUAACGCCGGCCUGAUUUUGCUAUUCCAACUCCGAAAUUAGGGUUUCUAGUGGUUCAAUUACGAUUUCGUAUUUUGUUGGGUUUGAUCGUCUUUUGUAUUCGUUGAUACAAUGAAGUUUGGUCGAGUGUGGUUGGAAAGAUGAGAUGAAAGUUCUCCUGACCCACUUCUUAAAAAUCUCAACUUUUUCCUUCUUUCCUCUGAUUUGUUUACUCUCGUCGUUGUUCUUGUUGGUUUGAUAAACACAGCAAUACAUACUCAUUGUGAGCAAAAGAGACAAAAGUGAAAAGACUUUUUUUUUUUUCGAAUCUUCUUUAAGUAUCACAGAUUUUUUGUUUCCUUCAUUGUCGUCUCGGUGCUGCCUACAUUUUGUUUGUUAACGCUUACACAAUUUUGAAUUUGGUACCAUUCUAAUCAUUUCUGAGUUUUUUGUUUUUGUUUUUUUUUGGCUGAAUCAUUUGAUUUGUCUGUAUUACUCCUGUUGUAGACUGUUAAUGUUACUGUCCAAAGUUGGUGUAGUUGUUAAAGCUUCUUAGUUUGCCUAUAAGUUUAGUGAAGAGGCAUCAUUGAUUCUAAGAGUUUCCUCUGAAGUCUCAGUUAUGUUUUGAGGUUUAAGAGUUUCGAAAUUGGUUAAUUGUUGUUGUUGUUGUUGAUGAUGCAAAGCUAAGAUUUUUCAGCUUUUUCUUUUGUACUGUUAACUGAACUGGAUUCGAACAAGUGAACUAUCUUGUGAUUGAUUUGCAUCACAAGAUACUUGCAUUGAUUUGGGCAACGCUAUGGUGAUUUGGCUUCUCUAGCUUGUGAUGUGCUCAGUAUUCCAAUCACCACAGUAGCAGCAGAGUCAUCGUUUAGCAUUGGAGGUCGGGUACUGACUCCUUACCGGAACCGUCUUCUUCCAAGAAAUGUUCAAGCCUUGUUAUGUACUAGAAACUGGUUACAUGGUUAUGCUGAGUUAGAAGUGACAUUAAAGACAACUUUGAUGAUGAGGUUGAAGGUACCACAUAUGUGACUAGUAGCUCAGGAGUAUGAGACCAAGAUUCUGAUCAGGUUUUGGAAGAACCAUAGGAGGAAGAAUGAGAAAUUUUUUUUGUUGUUGUUGUUUUUGUGACUUUGAUUUUGGUUUUUAUAUUUAUCUAGGUUAACAAAACUC
This is a non-coding RNA of Camelina sativa (false flax), 1168 nucleotides long. NCBI's taxonomy places the organism in Eukaryota, Viridiplantae, Streptophyta, Magnoliopsida, Brassicales, Brassicaceae. The record is from RefSeq and is a predicted model, not a curated record.